GACGAACGCUGGCGGCACGCUUAACACAUGCAAGUCGAACGAGAGAAGAGAAGCUUGCUUUUCUGAUCUAGUGGCGGACGGGUGAGUAACACGUGAGCAAUCUGCCUUUCAGAGGGGGAUACCGAUUGGAAACGAUCGUUAAUACCGCAUAACAUAAUUGAACCGCAUGAUUUGAUUAUCAAAGUUUUAUCGCUGAAAGAUGAGCUCGCGUCUGAUUAGCUAGUUGGUAAGGUAACGGCUUACCAAGGCGACGAUCAGUAGCCGGACUGAGAGGUUGAUCGGCCACAUUGGGACUGAGACACGGCCCAGACUCCUACGGGAGGCAGCAGUGGGGAAUAUUGCACAAUGGAGGAAACUCUGAUGCAGCGAUGCCGCGUGAGGGAAGAAGGUUUUAGGAUUGUAAAACUCUGUCUUCAGGGACGAAAAAAGACGGUACCUGAGGAGGAAGCUCCGGCUAACUACGUG
Molecule: ribosomal RNA, 465 nt
Filed under: uncultured bacterium
Lineage: Bacteria
Description: partial 16S ribosomal RNA
Rfam family: Bacterial small subunit ribosomal RNA
Source: RNAcentral